This 1073-nucleotide long non-coding RNA is filed under the name Brassica rapa (field mustard). RNAcentral describes it as "long non-coding RNA (BRAP_LNC004397)". The record is from RNAcentral. Lineage: Eukaryota; Viridiplantae; Streptophyta; Magnoliopsida; Brassicales; Brassicaceae.
UAAAACUGUAGUUACAAUAAACAUAAGAAAAUACACAUAUUUCUUAAAUUUUUAAAGAUUAGCAUAUACUCUUAAAAGAUAAGGUAUUAAAUUUAAAAUACUGGUAUCAAAUUUUUUAUUUUAAAAAUAAAAUUAGUUUUUUUUCCAUCAACUGUAUUUUUAUUAAAGAAAAGUCCAAUGAAAUAUUACAGGAUAAUGUUAAAAAUCAAAUUGCACCCAUUUACAUUUAUUAUUAAGCCCAAGCCCAAAGUAAAAAAAAAAACUAAUCUAAUAACCAGCUACCAUCAGAACACCCCGCCUUCUGCAUCCGCCACGUGUCCCACUACUUGUCUCCUUGAUAACACGCAUCAACAGUUAUAACUUCUAGAGAAUAAUAUAUUUGGAGACGACGGAGACAGCUCAUCCACGGUGUUCUCAUCCACUUUCCUCUUUCACCUCUACGGAUGCCUUAUUCAAGCCAUCCAACAUCUUCAGAUUAUAGACUUAAGAUUGCUCCAAUUGGUACAUACUAGGAAACUUUGUCGGACUGCUCCAAUGAAUAUGCCUACUCCACUGACUCCCUUCUGGACCAAUUCAAGAUUUACCUUUCAUCAUUCUCUUCCUUUCCAACAGGAAAACUUUACCCAUAUGCCAAAUACCACCUAUAGAAAAGGUAAAAACUAACUUCCAAAGAAAGGCGUCGAAAGCAUAUCCUCCAAUGAAGAUAACUUGAUUCAAUCUAAACAGAAUUUAAUCAACUCCUACGAAAGAAACUAACGAUAGAAGUUUCGUCUAUAUUAACAAACAAAACUUUAUUAAACAAUCCCAAGAACAGAGGUAGAAUAAGACCAUUAAGGAAAACUGUCUUGAGUCACUAACACUUCAAAAUCGGCUUAACUGAAAAAAUAUUCCGUUAUCGGAAAAGAAUAUUCACCGAGCGAAAGUAAAAAUUUACAACAAAAGACUAAAGAUAUUUCUCUUCCUCUCUAUUCAAACUCUAUAUUUUGAAAGAUUUGUGUUUGGUAAGAAGUAUAGAGUUUUUGAGAGAGAAGCCUCUCUGUAGAGAGGAGAGAGAAGCUAAAAAAUAAAAUUAG